CGUUAUUACCAUAGCUACAAUGUUUAUGAAGUCAUGGGAGAUGUUUUGUCGGAUGCGUUUGUUUGGUGUUUAACCUGAUGAGUGUUGUGCUGAUUGGUAUGUGAAUGUUUCUUGUUUUUAAUUUUCAUUUUCGUCAAUAAUUAUAAACAUGUCAUCUAAACAGCUUACAAUCUAAGAAUGUUAUUUUAGGAUACAAACGGAAUGUGUUACAAGCUUUCUAUCCAACUAUGAUUUCCCGAAUCCCUUUAUCUACCAUGGAUGCAAACGGAAUGAGUACACAACAAGCUUUUUAACAUUCAUCUUCCAAGCCAACCACGUACCCUUAAGAAUGGCCACUAUAUCUCAGUCACGUGCUCCUCCAAGAGUUACUAGAAGACAAGUAUUCCUGAAGAGUAUCUACUGCAAAGAGCCCCAGUCCUCAUUCAUAGUGCUACACUACAUUUAAUUUUUUAUCCAUGUUUGCUAUAUUAGUUUGAUGAUUAAGUAUCGGGAUGUGGUAGUGGUUGUGUAGAACAAAUCUGUUGUAUCAUGUCAUAUUCACACC
Molecule: long non-coding RNA, 544 nt
Filed under: Lupinus angustifolius (narrow-leaved blue lupine)
Lineage: Eukaryota; Viridiplantae; Streptophyta; Magnoliopsida; Fabales; Fabaceae
Description: long non-coding RNA (LANG_LNC003494)
Source: RNAcentral